RNAcentral lists this ribosomal RNA (2900 nucleotides) under Escherichia coli. Its description in RNAcentral is "bacterial LSU rRNA". It matches the Rfam family "Bacterial large subunit ribosomal RNA". Lineage: Bacteria; Pseudomonadati; Pseudomonadota; Gammaproteobacteria; Enterobacterales; Enterobacteriaceae. The record is from RNAcentral.
UUAAGCGACUAAGCGUACACGGUGGAUGCCCUGGCAGUCAGAGGCGAUGAAGGACGUGCUAAUCUGCGAUAAGCGUCGGUAAGGUGAUAUGAACCGUUAUAACCGGCGAUUUCCGAAUGGGGAAACCCAGUGUGUUUCGACACACUAUCAUUAACUGAAUCCAUAGGUUAAUGAGGCGAACCGGGGGAACUGAAACAUCUAAGUACCCCGAGGAAAAGAAAUCAACCGAGAUUCCCCCAGUAGCGGCGAGCGAACGGGGAGCAGCCCAGAGCCUGAAUCAGUGUGUGUGUUAGUGGAAGCGUCUGGAAAGGCGCGCGAUACAGGGUGACAGCCCCGUACACAAAAAUGCACAUGCUGUGAGCUCGAUGAGUAGGGCGGGACACGUGGUAUCCUGUCUGAAUAUGGGGGGACCAUCCUCCAAGGCUAAAUACUCCUGACUGACCGAUAGUGAACCAGUACCGUGAGGGAAAGGCGAAAAGAACCCGGCGAGGGAGUGAAAAAGAACCUGAAACCGUGUACGUACAAGCAGUGGGAGCCUCUUUAUGGGGUGACUGCGUACCUUUUGUAUAAUGGGUCAGCGACUUAUAUUCUGUAGCAAGGUUAACCGAAUAGGGGAGCCGAAGGGAAACCGAGUCUUAACUGGGCGUUAAGUUGCAGGGUAUAGACCCGAAACCCGGUGAUCUAGCCAUGGGCAGGUUGAAGGUUGGGUAACACUAACUGGAGGACCGAACCGACUAAUGUUGAAAAAUUAGCGGAUGACUUGUGGCUGGGGGUGAAAGGCCAAUCAAACCGGGAGAUAGCUGGUUCUCCCCGAAAGCUAUUUAGGUAGCGCCUCGUGAAUUCAUCUCCGGGGGUAGAGCACUGUUUCGGCAAGGGGGUCAUCCCGACUUACCAACCCGAUGCAAACUGCGAAUACCGGAGAAUGUUAUCACGGGAGACACACGGCGGGUGCUAACGUCCGUCGUGAAGAGGGAAACAACCCAGACCGCCAGCUAAGGUCCCAAAGUCAUGGUUAAGUGGGAAACGAUGUGGGAAGGCCCAGACAGCCAGGAUGUUGGCUUAGAAGCAGCCAUCAUUUAAAGAAAGCGUAAUAGCUCACUGGUCGAGUCGGCCUGCGCGGAAGAUGUAACGGGGCUAAACCAUGCACCGAAGCUGCGGCAGCGACACUAUGUGUUGUUGGGUAGGGGAGCGUUCUGUAAGCCUGCGAAGGUGUACUGUGAGGUAUGCUGGAGGUAUCAGAAGUGCGAAUGCUGACAUAAGUAACGAUAAAGCGGGUGAAAAGCCCGCUCGCCGGAAGACCAAGGGUUCCUGUCCAACGUUAAUCGGGGCAGGGUGAGUCGACCCCUAAGGCGAGGCCGAAAGGCGUAGUCGAUGGGAAACAGGUUAAUAUUCCUGUACUUGGUGUUACUGCGAAGGGGGGACGGAGAAGGCUAUGUUGGCCGGGCGACGGUUGUCCCGGUUUAAGCGUGUAGGCUGGUUUUCCAGGCAAAUCCGGAAAAUCAAGGCUGAGGCGUGAUGACGAGGCACUACGGUGCUGAAGCAACAAAUGCCCUGCUUCCAGGAAAAGCCUCUAAGCAUCAGGUAACAUCAAAUCGUACCCCAAACCGACACAGGUGGUCAGGUAGAGAAUACCAAGGCGCUUGAGAGAACUCGGGUGAAGGAACUAGGCAAAAUGGUGCCGUAACUUCGGGAGAAGGCACGCUGAUAUGUAGGUGAAGCGACUUGCUCGUGGAGCUGAAAUCAGUCGAAGAUACCAGCUGGCUGCAACUGUUUAUUAAAAACACAGCACUGUGCAAACACGAAAGUGGACGUAUACGGUGUGACGCCUGCCCGGUGCCGGAAGGUUAAUUGAUGGGGUUAGCGGUAACGCGAAGCUCUUGAUCGAAGCCCCGGUAAACGGCGGCCGUAACUAUAACGGUCCUAAGGUAGCGAAAUUCCUUGUCGGGUAAGUUCCGACCUGCACGAAUGGCGUAAUGAUGGCCAGGCUGUCUCCACCCGAGACUCAGUGAAAUUGAACUCGCUGUGAAGAUGCAGUGUACCCGCGGCAAGACGGAAAGACCCCGUGAACCUUUACUAUAGCUUGACACUGAACAUUGAGCCUUGAUGUGUAGGAUAGGUGGGAGGCUUUGAAGUGUAGACGCCAGUCUGCAUGGAGCCGGCCUUGAAAUACCACCCUUUAAUGUUUGAUGUUCUAACGUUGGCCCGUAAUCCGGGUUGCGGACAGUGUCUGGUGGGUAGUUUGACUGGGGCGGUCUCCUCCUAAAGAGUAACGGAGGAGCACGAAGGUUGGCUAAUCCUGGUCGGACAUCAGGAGGUUAGUGCAAUGGCAUAAGCCAGCUUGACUGCGAGCGUGACGGCGCGAGCAGGUGCGAAAGCAGGUCAUAGUGAUCCGGUGGUUCUGAAUGGAAGGGCCAUCGCUCAACGGAUAAAAGGUACUCCGGGGAUAACAGGCUGAUACCGCCCAAGAGUUCAUAUCGACGGCGGUGUUUGGCACCUCGAUGUCGGCUCAUCACAUCCUGGGGCUGAAGUAGGUCCCAAGGGUAUGGCUGUUCGCCAUUUAAAGUGGUACGCGAGCUGGGUUUAGAACGUCGUGAGACAGUUCGGUCCCUAUCUGCCGUGGGCGCUGGAGAACUGAGGGGGGCUGCUCCUAGUACGAGAGGACCGGAGUGGACGCAUCACUGGUGUUCGGGUUGUCAUGCCAAUGGCACUGCCCGGUAGCUAAAUGCGGAAGAGAUAAGUGCUGAAAGCAUCUAAGCACGAAACUUGCCCCGAGAUGAGUUCUCCCUGACUCCUUGAGAGUCCUGAAGGAACGUUGAAGACGACGACGUUGAUAGGCCGGGUGUGUAAGCGCAGCGAUGCGUUGAGCUAACCGGUACUAAUGAACCGUGAGGCUUAACCUU